RNAcentral lists this unclassified non-coding RNA (347 nucleotides) under uncultured Calcarisporiella. RNAcentral's name for it is "partial contains 5.8S ribosomal RNA, internal transcribed spacer 2, and large subunit ribosomal RNA". The record is from RNAcentral. Lineage: Eukaryota; Fungi; Ascomycota.
AAUGCAUAUUGCGACCUUCUGGUACUCCAGGAGGUAUGCCUGUUUGAGAAUCGUGACCACCCCUCACUUCAAACGAAGUGGACUAUGAGUUUUCUCAAGUAGUUCAUUCUUUUUAAAGAGUGAAUAGACUUGGGUGACUUGAAAUACAUGUAGGCCUUGGAUGGAACACCCCAUGGUGAAAAGGCGUGAUAAAACGUUCAAAAUUUUGAACAAGUAUUAAUCGCUUCAAGUAACUUUGGGAAUAAAAGUGACGUCCUUGUUAGCCAACACCGCAGGAAAUUGAAAGUCUUAAAAGCACUUUCUGUGAACUGAAUCUCAAAUCAGGCAAGACUACCCGCUGAACUUAA